Molecule: transfer RNA, 68 nt
Filed under: Ictidomys tridecemlineatus (thirteen-lined ground squirrel)
Lineage: Eukaryota; Metazoa; Chordata; Mammalia; Rodentia; Sciuridae
Description: Spermophilus tridecemlineatus (thirteen-lined ground squirrel) tRNA
Rfam family: tRNA
About the family: Transfer RNA (tRNA) molecules are approximately 80 nucleotides in length.
Source: Rfam by way of RNAcentral
GGGUGUGUAGCUCAGUGGUAGAGCACAUGCUUAGUGGGAGGUUCUGGGUUCCAUCCCCAGCACCUUCA